This 1364-nucleotide long non-coding RNA is filed under the name Oryctolagus cuniculus (rabbit). RNAcentral's name for it is "lncRNA (ENSOCUG00000037960.1)". Lineage: Eukaryota; Metazoa; Chordata; Mammalia; Lagomorpha; Leporidae. The record is from RNAcentral.
UCCUCCAUGGAGUGCUGGGUGCUAUGUUGUGAAAAGAUUUUGAAAACACUUGGCUGCCCUAACAGCGUGAGCAAAGCACUUUUUUUCUUCCAAAAAGGUAGACAGCAGCAGGUGUCCUCCGAGGCCCCCUGGGGCCGGCCACAGCUCUCCAGGCCCCAGGAGGCUGAGCCGCCCCAGGCGGGCCCCCGAGCCCUGGGCCAGGGCCACAAUGCAGCCGUCUGCAGCGGGCGCCUCAGCCAGAGCCUCUGGGUGCCCCACACCUCCGUCGGGGUGGGGGGAGGCCAGGCCCCCACAGGGACACUCGGGUCCCACACCCCAGGCUGCGUCGGGGACCCUCUGAAGAGGCCCAGGAGGAAGAGGAAGUCCACGAAGACGCCCUCGAGGACGUGCGGGAGGAGGAGGAGGAAGGUGAGAGCCCGCUGUCCCCGUAGCGGCCGGCCGGCUCUGCCCCCUGCUCUGCGGCCUGGCCUCGCCGCUUCGCCCGCGUGCGCCUUGGCCCCCCCGCCCCCUUCCCUCGUCUUUCCUGUGUUCCUUGCCCCUCUGUGUCUCCACCCCAAGCCCCUCUCCUGUGACCCUGGAGUGAGACAAGACCCUCUUGUUUCUCGAGGCCCCGGAGGGAAAGGGUGGGCUCAGCUGAAGAGGCAGGCGGCCCCGCGGGUGGGAACCCAGUAGGCCCCCACCUGCAGCCCCCCGCCCGUCUCUCACCUGCUCUCUCUCUCCCCCUCCCCAUGCCGCAUCGUUGGGGUCUCCAGAAGAGAAGCCAAGACCCAAGUGAGUACCAGCGUGGCCCAGGGCUGGGGUGCGAGGGGAGAAGCCCAGGUGUACAGGACGGGUGAUGCUGAGGUGGCCCAGAACACUGACUGGGGAGGCCCAGGGCAAGCCAGGAGGGCUUCCUGCAAGAGGAGGCUACAGCCAAAGCGAGGAGGGGUCCAGCAGGGUGGGUGUCAGCGGGAGGAAGGAAGAGGCGGGAGCAGAGGAGAGGUCGGAGGUGUUGCCUCUCUGGACCCCACUCCGUGAGCCCCAGUACUGGUGGUAGGGGUGGGGGUCUCCCAGGGCUCUGAGUGUGCAAGUGAACAUGGAAGGAGCUGCCUGGGUGGGGUGGGGGCUCUUGGGGGGGCCCCUGAGCCCCUUCUCGGGGGUCUCUCAGAGAUGGAUUUUGGAACGCAGCUUCCCCUGGUGCCGGUUGUGGGAAGGACCUGGGGGCCCCGGCUGGUGCGCCCCAGGGGCUCCUGGGAGAGCGGCUGCCGUGUUUGCACUUUACAGAACGUGGGGCCGGCUCCCAAGAUAUUUUCUCAUUUUAGAAAAAUUGUUUGUGUUUUCAUUAUGAAAAUAAAACACCUCAUUAAGGGAAAUUUGGAAAAUAC